UGCCAGCCGCCGCGGUAACACGGGGGGCGCAAGCGUUAUUCGGAAUUAUUGGGCGUAAAGGGCGCGCAGGCGGUCUUGUCCGUCAGGUGUGAAAGCCCACGGCCCAACCACGGAACUGCAUCAGAUACUGGCUGACUUGAGUGCGGUAGAGGCGAGUGGAAUUCCCAGUGUAGCGGUGAAAUGCGUAGAUAUUGGGAAGAACACCAGUGGCGUAAGCGACUCGCUGGGCCGUAACUGACGCUGAGGAACGAAAGCCAGGGGAGCGAAUGGGAUUAGAUA
Molecule: ribosomal RNA, 279 nt
Filed under: uncultured bacterium
Lineage: Bacteria
Description: partial 16S ribosomal RNA
Rfam family: Bacterial small subunit ribosomal RNA
Source: RNAcentral